CUUGGUCAUUUAGAGGAAGUAAAAGUCGUAACAAGGUCUCCGUAGGUGAACCUGCGGAGGGAUCAUUACAGAGUUCUCGCCCUUCCGGGUAGAUCUCCCACCCACUGUUAUUGUUACCGUCGUUUCUUUGGCGGGCCGCCGGGCCCUGCUCGGCCGCCGGCCCCGGCUGGCGCGUGCCCGCCAGAGGCCCUUCAAACUCUGAAUGUUAGUGUCGUCUGAGUACUAUACAAUAGUUAAAACUUUCAACAACGGAUCUCUUGGUUCUGGCAUCGAUGAAGAACGCAGCGAAAUGCGAUAAGUAAUGCGAAUUGCAGAAUUCAGUGAGUCAUCGAAUCUUUGAACGCACAUUGCGCCCUGUGGUAUUCCGCAGGGCAUGCCUGUUCGAGCGUCAUUUCAACCCUCAAGCCCUGCUUGGUGUUGGGCCCUGCCCGUUGCGGCCGGCCCUAAAGUCAGUGGCGGCGCCGUCUGGCUCUAAGCGUAGUACAUCUCUCGCUCUAGGGCCCCGCGGUGGCUUGCCAGCAACCCCAACUCCUAUGGUUGACCUCGGAUCAGGUAGGGAUACCCGCUGAACUUAAGCAUAUCAAUAAGCGGAGGA
This 595-nucleotide ribosomal RNA is filed under the name uncultured Oidiodendron. RNAcentral describes it as "eukaryotic LSU rRNA". The stretch from base 238 to 391 matches the Rfam family "5.8S ribosomal RNA". Lineage: Eukaryota; Fungi; Ascomycota; Leotiomycetes; Myxotrichaceae. The record is from RNAcentral.